UAUUAACUGGCGUAGGCAUCAACCUUACAAACCCAGUCAGGUUUGAAAAAAAGCAGCUGUAGUAAGUCCUUGGUGGGUUACGCUAGUAGUUUUAUCUU
Molecule: non-coding RNA, 98 nt
Organism: Orientia tsutsugamushi str. Gilliam
Lineage: Bacteria; Pseudomonadati; Pseudomonadota; Alphaproteobacteria; Rickettsiales; Rickettsiaceae
Source: Rfam